RNAcentral lists this unclassified non-coding RNA (343 nucleotides) under soil metagenome. RNAcentral's name for it is "partial contains 5.8S ribosomal RNA, internal transcribed spacer 2, and large subunit ribosomal RNA". The stretch from base 1 to 120 matches the Rfam family "5.8S ribosomal RNA", at positions 35 to 154 of the family's 154-position model. The record is from RNAcentral.
GAUGAAGAACGUAGCGAAAUGCGAUAAGUAAUGUGAAUUGCAGAAUUCAGUGAAUCAUCGAAUCUUUGAACGCACAUUGCGCCCGCUAGUAUUCUGGCGGGCAUGCCUGUCCGAGCGUCAUUUCAACCCUCAAGCCCCCGGGCUUGGUGUUGGGGAUCGGCGAGCCUCCGCGCCCGCCGUCCCCUAAAUCUAGUGGCGGUCUCGCUGUAUCUUCCUCUGCGUAGUAGCACACCUCGCACUGGGAAACAGCGCGGCCACGCCGUUAAACCCCCAACUUCUGAACGUUUGACCUCGGAUCAGGUAGGAAUACCCGCUGAACUUAAGCAUAUCAAUAAGCGGAGGA